This 440-nucleotide ribosomal RNA is filed under the name uncultured bacterium. Its description in RNAcentral is "partial 16S ribosomal RNA". It matches the Rfam family "Bacterial small subunit ribosomal RNA", at positions 338 to 795 of the family's 1533-position model. The record is from RNAcentral.
CCUACGGGAGGCAGCAGUGGGGAAUAUUGCACAAUGGGGGAAACCCUGAUGCAGCGACGCCGCGUGAGGGAAGAAGUAUUUCGGUAUGUAAACUUCUAUCAGCAGGGAAGAAAAUGACGGUACCUGACUAAGAAGCCCCGGCUAACUACGUGCCAGCAGCCGCGGUAAUACGUAGGGGGCAAGCGUUAUCCGGAUUUACUGGGUGUAAAGGGAGCGUAGGCGGGUUAGCAAGUCAGAAGUGAAAGCCCGGGGCUCAACUCCGGGACUGCUUUUGAAACUGUUUAACUGGAUUGCAGGAGAGGUAAGUGGAAUUCCUAGUGUAGCGGUGAAAUGCGUAGAUAUUAGGAGGAACACCAGUGGCGAAGGCGGCUAUCUGGCCAUUUACUGACGCUGAGGCUCGAAAGCAUGGGGAUCAAACAGGAUUAGAUACCCUUGUAGUC